Molecule: ribosomal RNA, 497 nt
Filed under: uncultured bacterium
Lineage: Bacteria
Description: partial 16S ribosomal RNA
Rfam family: Bacterial small subunit ribosomal RNA
Source: RNAcentral
GAUGAACGCUGGCGGCGUGCCUAAUACAUGCAAGUCGAGCGAACGGACGAGAAGCUUGCUUCUCUGAUGUUAGCGGCGGACGGGUGAGUAACACGUGGAUAACCUACCUAUAAGACUGGGAUAAUUUCGGGAAACCGGAGCUAAUACCGGAUAAUAUUUUGAACCGCAUGGUUCAAAAGUGAAAGACGGUCUUGCUGUCACUUAUAGAUGGAUCCGCGCUGCAUUAGCUAGUUGGUAAGGUAACGGCUUACCAAGGCAACGAUGCAUAGCCGACCUGAGAGGGUGAUCGGCCACACUGGAACUGAGACACGGUCCAGACUCCUACGGGAGGCAGCAGUAGGGAAUCUUCCGCAAUGGGCGAAAGCCUGACGGAGCAACGCCGCGUGAGUGAAGAAGGUCUUCGGAUCGUAAAACUCUUUUAUUAGGGAAGAACAUAUGUGUAAGUAACUGUGCACAUCUUGACGGUACCUAAUCAGAAAGCCACGGCUAACUACGUG